AUAGCCGGUUCCCGUCAUCUCUGUGAUACGCAGGAGAUAAAAAGAUCCACGACACGAGGGAGAGCGAUCGAGAAAGCAAGAGUUAUCGAAAUUUUCCUCUGACAUCCAUGAUUUUUCCAUCAGUUGGGCCAAGAAGAUUUUCUGAUAUUUAAGACGGUUCUGGCAAUUAUUUCUACCCGUUGCAUCAAUUUCGCAGAUCAAAAUAUGAUAUCUGGAUACGGAACUUUAGAACUUGUGACAGUUAAGCGAGUCAACAGCAAGAUAUCGAACAAGAGAGAAAGAGACUUGUAAAAAAAAUAGAGUAAGAUAUAUGUAUAUAGUGUGAUAGUUGCGCCCAGUUAACAGACCUCUGCUCUAGAAUAAAUUAACAAGAUUAAGCUAAAAAAGGCUAUUGUUUCCAUGUCAAAGCAUUAACAGCUGUGAUGUUUAUUACUGAGACGUCAACAACUAGAGAUAUUUGUUUAGAAUUUCUGCCACACUUUAAAAGUUCCUGCGUAUUAAAGUUAUAUAUUCU
Non-coding RNA from Linepithema humile (Argentine ant), 514 nucleotides. The record is from RefSeq and is a predicted model, not a curated record. NCBI's taxonomy places the organism in Eukaryota, Metazoa, Arthropoda, Insecta, Hymenoptera, Formicidae.